GUUGGUUAUGGGGAUAUGGCACCCAAGACUUAUGUGGGUAUGUUUGUUGGUGCCCUGUGUGCCCUUGCUGGUGUGUUGACAAUUGCGCUACCAGUACCAGUCAUUGUGUCCAAC
Molecule: non-coding RNA, 114 nt
Organism: Panulirus interruptus (California spiny lobster)
Lineage: Eukaryota; Metazoa; Arthropoda; Malacostraca; Decapoda; Palinuridae
Source: Rfam